GUAAUUCUAAUUUGGAUGUAUUUUUCGUGUCCGCAGAACAAAAGAAUCGUAUACCAGACUCUACACCGUUUGAUCACCUUUAAUCAGUUUUUAGCAGAAGUACCACUUAACUAGGAAUAGGUAUAUCGACAUUACAAAUGUUAGCAGAUCUUCCAUCAAUAUAUGAUAUUCUUCAAUUUAUACUGGCUGAUGGAAAAUUGUAAUUUUGAUUUAUUGUUAUUUUAAUUAAUAUUAUUUUUUGUUGGUAAUAAAAUGAUUCCCUUAAA
Molecule: long non-coding RNA, 266 nt
Organism: Lucilia sericata (common green bottle fly)
Lineage: Eukaryota; Metazoa; Arthropoda; Insecta; Diptera; Calliphoridae
Exons: 2
Source: RefSeq, a predicted model, not a curated record